CAAUUUCGAGUGCAAGUACCACAGUGUCAGCUAAAGAAACACAACUGUGGGUUUUCUGCAGAGCGAAAUGGUUCUGAAAUGUCACUGAAUAGCUCACAAAGGACGCCAAUCUACGACAACAGAGACAUAAGCAUAUAGGAGAAAGGGCCCACACAUCCUCUUUACAAAGGUAUGUUGUUUACAUGCAUGUAAUUUGUGAAACACACAGCUAUUCGAUUCAGGGGUUUCACAGAAGUCUAACCAAAAUCUGUUUGGAAAGCAAGUGGCAAGAUUCUUCCAGAAGUCACAGAAUUUUGGGUGUGGGGAGAUUCUGGUAUGUUUUGCACAUAAAUAGAUGUCCUACUAUAGUGGAUGAUAGCCUUCAAGUUUCCAAGACAUCAAUUACAAUUGCUACUUGGUGAUCAUAUUUCAUUACCACCUCCACGGAAGUUGGUAUACAAGUUUGCAAAUGUGGCCCAAAUGUGUACAUGUCAAUAAUACAGUAGGAACAGGACCUCUGAGAGGGAAAUAUGAAAUGUUGAUUCCUCAAAACUCCUUCCAGUAACGUCCCCAUGGCUCCUCUGACACAUGGCAAAAGUAUGGGACGGUAGACAUGUACGUGAUAAGAGGGCUAACGUGAAUAAGGCUGUGUCUAUCAUCAACUAAAACAGCUCCUCUGUGUUGUUUAGUUUUUCCCUACUUAAAUGCCUAUUUUAAAAAGCAAAAAAUUUAAAUGACUAAUAGACCACUGGCUUUAGUUACCCUGUACAAGAGUCCAAAGAGAAAAUGAAACAACCUGUACCAAGUCCUCCGUUAGGCUCUUAUGUGGACAUUAUGCUCUGCAAGCAGCGACUGGGCAAAUGGCAGUAGACUUGAUCAGGCAACAUCACGGUCAGGUUUGGCACCGCUUUCGGAUUCCAUACAUACACUCCUAAAUCUGCAAGUGGAUGUAUAAACCUUGUUUGUGUUAAAGGAGAACACUAAUCCUACUUUAAAGUAAAAAAGAAAUAAGGAGUUUGGAUGUAAACGACAACUUUGUAUUUACUUUUAAAAAAUAUCUAAAAAUUGUGGCAUAUAAUAAGGAGAAAGAAGCAAUACUUUGAAAAAAACAAAAGGAAGAUCAUGACAUCCUCGGUAAGCAAUGGAGAUAAUUGAAAAAAUUUUGAGUCCGUCUCUUAGAUAAUAUUUUUCUUUCACAAUAAACUUGUUCUUUUUUUCACCUAGGUCACAUAAAGCUUACUGCAGGUCAGGAAAUGUCUUCUGUUUCCAGAGCAGCUCACAGGAGUGAGUCACUUCCUAUGAUUUAUUUUUUCCAUUUCUCUGUUUAUAGGUAGAUAUUUUUCUACUUGGGAUAGAUUUAAUAUUUUUUCUUUUGGUCUAAAAUUAUUCAUAAAGACUUAUCUUAUUUUCAUACAUAAUUCCUUUAAUUUCCUGUCUGAGAUCCACCUGUAGAAUUAUGCUUCCUGCUCUCUAUCUACAUCCUAUUUAAAGAUGCCACUGAAAGCAUAUCAAUAUUUUAUUGUAAGCAAUAGGAAAAUGGGUAAAUAGCACAUUUAUGUGUCUAUGUGUAUGUACUGCUUAUGUAAACAUAUAUAAUGUAUAUAAAUCCAUACACACAAAAAAUUUAGUUUACUCAAGUUAGGAUUAUUAAAAUUGAUCCUGGGAACAAAAUAAUACACCUUCCUAGGCAUUCAUCCCGACUAUAGACACGGAGAAAGGAAGAUUGUGAGAAGGAGACACACACAUUCAGAUGAGCCUUCAGGGAAUUGUAUGAACUUUUGAACCAGAGGCGGAGAGCCAGAGCCCAGCCUGUUCCCACUUUAAUAAACAUUUUUUUUCUUCAAUUAAUUAAGGUUUGGAAAGAAAAAAAACCACAGAAGAGAAGUAAUUUAGCAUGCAGUGCAUACUUUACAGAUGGAUCCUACCUUCGGAUGCUUAUUAAAUCUAUGCAUGAUUGCGCUGGAGAAAAUUAAUUGCAUUGUUUCUCACUAUUCAAAAGGGGGUUGCAAACAGCUCAAAAAUAAAAAGGAAAAUGAAGCAAGGGUGUUGUUGUUGUUGUUUAAAAAAAGACAGCUACAGUAUAAAAGUAACACUUUUAAUAGUCCUAAAACAAGUAAUACCCACAAUUGGCGUUAAGGGUGCAAAAAUUCCUUUAAAUUCUGUUGAUAUUUCAGAAUUACUGUGUAUGCUGCCAGAAUACAUAUAUCUACUUUAAGUUUACACAUAUUCUGGGCUAACAGAAAUUUCCUACUCAGUGGCGUUUGAACUAUUCAAUUAAGUGGUGUGUUUUUGUUCAGAUCCUACUGUGAAGAAAGAUUUACAUGGGCAGCUGGGAGUACACACUGGCACCCAUUCACCGUGUUUUGGUUAGCUGGUAUUCCCUCCAUACCAGUCUUUGGAAAAAGUGAUAAAUUCCUAAUUUGGGUGGGGGGAGAAAAGUAAAAAUAUUGUUAUAAAGUAUUCAGACCAUAGGUGAUUGUUUGCAUUUUUAUCAGCUUUAAUUUUUAAAAAAGCAUAGAAGCUUCAGAAAUUUGAGCCAUUUUUGCCUUUUCUGAAGUCCUGCAAGUAGAAAUUGAACUGUAACCUCUCUCUUACACUGUCCUGAAAAUGACCUUCAUCAAACUUGAAAGGACCACUCUCUGUCUAAGGAGCUAGGAGAGACAUUAAUUUUCCUAACUCACUCUUUUCCAGAUUAAAAAAAAAAAAAAUCCCUGUGUUCCUUCAUUACAGAUGCUCCUUUGGAUGUGAUCCACCCUGUUGUUGAUUUAACUAAACACAUUUCGCUAAGAACUUCUAAACUUACUUUAUUCCACGAUCCAAGUAAAUGGUGGUUUUAUUUUAUUCUUCCAUUCUGAAUCUAUAAAUCAAUCUCUCUGAUCCCCAGUAAACAUGUGUCAUUAUUCUGAAAUAUUUAUCAUGACACAAAUUUUGCUAAGAGUAACAAACUAAGGACAUAUCAUAAAUAAAUGAAUCUGUCCUAGGUACAACAGAGUUUAUAAGGUAUGGAUAAAAUAUAGACGUAUUAACAUCAGGAUUAGCUUAUAUGCUGCCUUUCACAAGCAGAUCUCAAAGAACGACAUAGAUGACCUUAUAAACAGUUACAGAUAUCAUCAUCCCUAGUUAGGAUGGGACAAACAAGAUCAUAUGGUGAGACAGAGCAAAACUUCGAAGACAAGUAUUCAACUUUUGUUCCUUUACCUUUUAAAAUCAGAUCCUACCACCCCAUUCGAACAGCCACUAUUUAAAAGUAGAAUCUUACUAACACUCAAAAACAUCCGGUUCGGUCCAGGAACUACUCAGAAGAGAAAAAUCCACGCUGCUAUGAGAAACUCAGGUCAAAACUGAGCCUGUGCCGUGUGCGGCUAGUGUCUUUCUAAAUGUGACAUAAAAUGCGUAGUAUCUAUUUUACUGGUUAUUAAAGAGCACAGACAGGAAAUACAUGGGGUUGGACCUAUAUAACUUUACCAUUACAAAAGACAGUUGAACUUAGGUACUAAAACAAGGCCAGCUUCAGAAAGCUGAGCAGUUUUACUUAAGCCAAACCACAUGAUAGUUACGAAAAUGCCUGAAUAAAAAAGGUGGGAGGGGCGCCUGGGUGGCGCAGUCGGUUAAGCGUCCGACUUCAGCCAGGUCACAAUCUCGCGGUCCGGGAGUUCGAGCCCCGCGUCGGGCUCUGGGCUGAUGGCUCAGAGCCUGGAGCCUGUUUCCGAUUCUGUGUCUCCCUCUCUCUCUGCCCCUCCCCCGUUCAUGCUCUGUCUCUCUCUGUCCCAAAAAGAAAUAAACGUUGAAAAAAAAAAUUUAAAAAAAAAAAAAAAAAGGUGGGAAAAAUCCAAGAAGGGAGAUUACUCAGUUCAAGGCACCUGAACUUAUUUCCCUGCCUAGAAAGAUCUCUUCCUGUCUGCUGCACUCCAACUUGAGCAGCCACCCCCACAGGGCUAACUGCAGCCGGGACUUGCACAUUUGACCUGUCUCUUUACUCCAGAUUCUCUCAGAUGAUCCAACGUUUACCUUUUAAGGUUCUGUGCAAUUAACACAAUCCCCACCCACCUCAAACAGGGAGUGUUGCAAAUGAAAGUCCUAUAUGUCAUCCCUAAUGACUGGUCAUCUCAAGUUCUGGGACUUCCUCUGUAUAGAACCUGUCACAUUAGGGUACUUUAUAAUCUUCCUGCAAAUUCCAAAAUGAGCACCAGUAAGCUGCCAGAAGCUGCUGGCAAAGCGGUUUUGGUAGCACGAAUGACUCAGGCUCUGCUUGAACCAAUUCACAUUGAGUAUGUGAAAAGGUUAUCAAAAUCAAGACAACCAAAAGCACAAAACGAUUCUGGUAAUGCAGAUGAUUAAAUCUGCUUUAAGGAAUCCACGAUUUUAGAACAAGUUUUGAAUUUUGAGAUACUUAGUGUAAAAAUAAGAAUAGCUAAGGAUACAAUUGUAAAACCCUUAAUUGACUUGAUCUUUAUUUUACAUUUCCUACACACCUUAUAAUGAAUGAGUACACUUUUCUCCUGGAGCAAAGAGCUCACUGAUGACUAGGGAAUUAGAUUCAAGACACUAUACUUUGAUUUAGCAAAUCUCUGUAUUCAUUUAUUACAUGGGAUCCUGUUUUCUCCAAGGAGUUAAACUCCCUCUAUAAGGUAAAGAGCUUAAUCACUCUGGGAUGAGAUAUUUUUUCUAUUUUCCAAUGCAAUUACUCUUUGUCUUAAAUCUAAUUGAAUUCACUUUCCAUGUUAGUGGGGGAAGGGAGGUGGGCAGGAGAAAUGCAGUAUAUGCUAGAAGAUAAAUAGUGUUAAUUGUAGACUUUUGGUAUAUAGAGGAUUUUUUUUUUUAAAGACAAAAAACUGUGACCUGGUAAAAAUAUUAAAAUUUUCAGUGGUAUGGUGGGGGUGAGGAGACUUUGGCCAGACUUUAGGAACUGGAUUUGGGGUAUGGACAACAUCAGGGACAUUGCAUAAGGCCUUUUCAAAUUUAUAAUUUAUAAAGUACCUUGGGAUUUCUCUGGAUAAAAGGCACCAUAUAAAUAUAAACAUAUUCAGGGCACCUGGGUGCCUCAGUCGGUUAAGCUUUGUACUCUUGAUUUUGGCUCAGGUCAUAAUCACGGUUUGUAAGAUCGAGCCCCGCAUUGGGUUCUGACCUGACAGUGUGGAGUCUGCUUGGGAUUCUCUCUCUCUCUCAAAAUAAAUAAAUAAACUUAAAAAAUAAAUAUGAGCAUUUUCACUUCAUGUAGAUGAUCGCAGAUAGUUGAUAUCUCAGCAUAAACAUAUCUCAGUAGUCCAAGGGAUAUAAACUCUUACGUGGAUUUGGUUUUUUCUGCCAUUUUCUCUUCCCUGAGUUGUAGCACACACAAUAGAGCAUGCCUUUGUUGGCUGGCUCUUUUCCCUUUUCUAAAGUUCCUGUCUCUUUCAUUUGUCUUUGUGGUGUCACUGUACUGUCCAGUAUUUGCCUUUGAACUCCCAAGUUAUAUAACUGAAGGAAGUAAACAUUUAUCUUGGAUCUGUCUGGCAUAGUGCUUUCCACCCUCAGUAUGUCUGGUGUCUAAGUCCUCCAGAUACCAUGGAAGCGGGGAGAGAGGGAGGCAGUCACUCUGUGGCACAGUAAGAAACACUGUGAAACAGAGACUGUUAUUAUCUCAUGGUUCUUUGAAGGCUUUUAGGAUCUGGCAUAAUUUGAGAGUCCGAACCACAUAAUCAUAUUUUGUUCAAUUUGACAAACACUUACUGAAUGUCUAAUCUAUGCUGAAACCUGUAAGAUACAUAAAAAUAAUUAAGACACAACCCCUGCCCUCUGGAGCUCACAAUCCAUUGGAAAAGCCAGCACAUGUAAGUACUAUAAUGCAAGGCAAAUGGAAGUAACAGCUAAAAUAGAGGUACUGAUCAAGUAAACCGCAAGACAGGGAGAUGUUGAGUAUGAACUGGGGCAGCUAGAAAGCCAUGUUGAGAAGAAAAGAGUUUAGGCGGAGCCUUGAAGGAUUAGUGGAAUGUGGGUGGCUGGAGAGGUUGGGAAGGGCAUUCCAGGUAGAGGUUGGGAAGGGCAUUCCAGAGAGGUUGGGAAGGGCAUUCCAGUCACAAGACUGGAUUUAGGGAAAUACAAAUAAUUCCAUAAGGCCAGAGGUAAGAGGAAAGGUAGGUUCAGAAACACAACUUGUAUUUCAGAUUGUGAUUUCAAAUCCUCCUCAAAAUAAGCUGAGAUGAUGAAACUGCAGUGUAACCAAAUAAUAGUUCUUAACAACGAGUGUUCCUAGUCUGUUAUUCCCCCUGUGGGCUCAACAGGGUCUGGCUACACUGGCUCAGUUCCUUCCCAGGUCUUCCCCCAUCCAAGGAGGGCUCUGCCAUCCUCAGACAAGUGUCUUGGUGGUUUGUGAUGCAGCAUGGGGAGAUUGAGGAGAAGGAGAGAGGAGUUUGAAAGGACAGAGGUCACUUCAAUCAAUAGUAAAGGACAGAGAAGCAAAGAAGCACUCUCCACCUUGCAUGGUUGAGGAUCCAGAGAGACAGGGCAGAAUGGCAUGUUUGAGAAACUUCUGGGGCAGGAGAGUAAGAGGCUCUGGGGAGUCGUGGGGAUUUUGAAGAGGGGAAAGUUGCCUUGUAAAAUAUGCUAAAGAUAUUUAAAAAAUCUUUUUUCUUAAUGUUUAUUUUUAUUUCUUGAGAGAGAAAGACAGAGCAUGGGUGGGGGGAGGAGCAGAGAGAGAGGGAGACACAGAAUCCAAAGCAGGUUCAAGGCUCUGAGCUGUCAGCACAGAGCGCGAUGCGGGGCUCAAACUCAACGGACCAUGAGAUGAUGAUCUGAGCCGAAGUUGGAUGCUUAACGGAUUGAACCACCCAAGCGCCCCUAGGUAUUUUUGAGAACUGCAAUGCUUACUCUUACUGUGUGUCUGUGAAUGUGAUAUGUCUUCAGGACUGGGCCUCGGUGUCAGCAGGGAUGAUAGAUAGGUAAGCAAAGAUUUGGGACUGCUUGGCAAGAGAUCAUAUGUGAUUUUCUAUGGACUGGAGGCUAUGGCUCACAUUAUACCAGCAAAGAGAGAGAGGAGGGCUGAGCCUGAAAAUGAAGUUGGACCAGUAACUUUUACCAUUUCAUACCUCCGUGAAUUCUCCAUUUAAUGUUUAAUGCUUGUUGAAUAGAUUGAGAUGGUUCUCACUGUAUAUUAUUUACUGCUCAGAAAUAAUUCUUAUUUUCUUGACUAUCGUAUUUCUUUAGGGAGUUUAGCUGCCCUGAACUUCUACUCCCCAUUUUCUCCAAGCCCUGGACCAAUCCCUACCCUAUGCUCUUUACUCUCAGCACAAGGCUUUGCCCUCCUCUCCCUCCAAGUAAAAACACCCUGUAUCUUUACCUCCUUUAUCUUUGAACUCCUAGGAGUGAGUGUUUUGCCUUUUAGCUAAGACUGAUUCUUGAAUAGUAUUAUCCAACCCACUUCUACCUUUUCCAGGACUUGAUUCUAUCCAUUAUUUUUUAGAUUGGUUCUUUCUCAUUUCCUGGAAAAAUGAGCUCAGAUUUACCCUCUCCUACAACAAAAACAAAACAACCAAAAAAGUUCCUCUUCCCUGCUGUCAUUUAUCCCUGCUCUUCUUUUGGCCAAAUUUUGAGAGCAGCAUAAAUCCACAACCUCUAGUUUUUCACCUCUUGCUCACACCUGAAUCCCUAAAACCAGGCUUCUGCCUUCUCUACUCUAUUUACCUGCCUCUCAAAAGAUUAGCAAAUAACUUCUUGUUUUGUUUCCCAUUUACUCCCACCAUCCUUGCCCCCUAGGCGCAUGUCUAAAAGCUUAUGAACAUGAUGGGGGUAUUGUUAAUUACUUACCUUUAUAACCCCUCAACACCCAGCAUUAUGCUUUGCAUGUGGUAGAGACUCCCAGAGUAUGUGAAUUGCAUCUGAAUUUCUUCAACCUUCCUCAUGGUCCCCAUGGCUCCUGAUAUUCUACCACAUUAGGAACCUAGCAAUGGUUUCAGAUGCUAUCGCUGGUAUCAGGGCAUGUAGCUUUCUCUCAUGGGUUUAGAGAAUUAGAAAACAUCUCAUCCUCCGUUGUUGACAACCAAAUUAUUUUAAACUCUUGUUUACCAGAAAGUAUGGUGAAGAUUGUGUUAUUUUUAUUUUGCUGCUAACAUACACAAAACCAAAAAUAAAUACCCAACAUGAAAUGUAUAUCAUGAUGAUCAAUAGUAAUGAACAACAGUUCACAAAUGGAGAAUUCAAGACAAACUAAAAAAAAAAAAAUAGGGGCACCUGGUUGGCUCAGUCGGUUAAGCAUCUGACUUCAGCUCAGGUCACUAUCUCGUGGUUCGUGAGUUUGAGCCCCGCAUUGGGCUCUGUGCUGACAGCUCAGAGCCUGGAGCCUGCUACGGAUUCUGUGUCUCCCUCUCUCUCUCUGUCCCUGCCCUGCUCACACUCUGUCUGUCUCUCAAAAGUGAGUAAAUGUUAAAAAAAUAUAUAUUAAAGAGAAAAAAAGACAAACUGACUUGCCAAACUUAUCAAGUGGCCUCCCAUUGACCCAAACAUAAACCACGUUGUAAUACAGUACCUUGUUCUAUUCAAUAAGCUAUAUUUCUUGAGACUCUUCCCCAGGAAGUUCUACAGGUGGCUGAGACACGACAAAUACUAAAACAUAACCAGGAAUUGAGCCAGUCACUACUAAUGUGUGGUUAUGACAACUUUAAUAAAUACGUAUGAUUUUUUUUUCUGUAGAGGGUACAAGAACACACUCUUGUUUGAAAUCCAAAUGCAUAAAGAUAAUCAAUGGGAUGUAAGAACUCUUUUUUACUUCUACAUUUCCCUUAGGUGUCUUUUUUUUUUUUUUAAGUUUUUUUGAAAGAGAGAGAGUGUGAAGGGGAGGGGCAGAGGGAGAGAGGGAGAGAAGGAGAGAGAGAAUCCCAAACAGGUUCCAUGUUGUCAGCACUGACAGCAUGAAGCCUGACAUGAGGCUCCAUCCCACGAAGCGUGAGAUCAUGACCUGAGCCGAAAUCAAAAGUUGGACACUUCACCAACCGAGCCACCCAGGUGCCCCUCCUUUGGUGUCUUAUAUUGCUACAGAAUUUUACUAACAGGACGUGGAGGCCUUUUCUCCCAUCUCUCACAAACUCCUCUAUUUCACUGAGAUCCUUUAGGAGUAGUGAGGACCAGCACAAGUGUCACAUGACCUCUUCACACAUGCUCAUACCAGAGGUACCCUGCCACUUGUCUACACUACCCUGCCCAGCUUAUUACAAGCCAUGCAAAAUGCCCAAGAAAGCCAGCCAUAGGGGCUUGUUACAGUUGUUUGCUUGCAGUGUUCCUUUAGAGUGGGUGUAUCCACCAAAAAUGUAAAGAAUCCAUGAGUUUCUGCGUGGCAUUCUAGUGCUAAAUCAAAAUCCACCCUCUUUGUCACUGGUUCAACAGUUCAGGUCAACAAACACUCCUGGAGCACUUAUCCUGUGACAGGCAUCAUGCUAAGGCCUUCAAGGAGCCAGAGUCCAGUGGGAAUAGAGAUUUGUAAACACAGAUUCCAAUAUAAUAUUGGCAGUGGUUUGGAAAAAUCAAAUCACAGGGAUAAAAAAAAAAAAGAAUGAACUAUGCUUUGGGCAAUUCUACAUUUUAAGAUAAAAUUUAAAAAUUACAUUAAAUUACUUAGAUUUAAUUAAAAACAAGUUUUAUCUUAAAAUGUAGAAUUGCCCAAAUUUAAAACUCAAAAUUUAAGGUUUUAGAGAUCCUUUAGAUGUUAACAAAAUAAAUAAAUAAGAACAAAGUAAAACAACAACAACAACAACAACAACAAUGACAAGUCUAGUCACAGAACAGAUUCCUUUCAAAAUAAAGAUCUUCAAAGGCAUUAAAUGUUUUUAUUCAACAGUAGUAGGGGACAAGGAGAUAUUAGAGAAUCUCACUACCACUAGCAAAUUUAUCUUUUGGUUAUGCUAAGAAGUUACCAGAUGGUGGGUGAUCCAGUAUCACUGUCCUGUGACACUGUUUUAGGGAAGGGAAUCUUUUUAUUACAGUCGUGUUUUCUUUUUUCUUUUUUAAAGGCCCUCUUUUUCUAGAUAAAUCGCAUUUUAUUUCAGCCCCUUCAUAUAACCUGUAAAUAGUCUUUACAUUAACGCCUCUGUAAUCUGUCAAAUAAUACUCUGCAGUCUUAGAAAUAUAAAUAGAUGAGCAUUUUACUCUCAUGGAACACUUUAUUCAGCUGGCUUCACUACAACUCUAUGACCCAAGUUGUUCAGUGAGUACUCUAAGACCAUACUGAACACAUAUAAAGGAGGCAGACUUUUAGGGCCAAAUGUUUUCCUUCAUGUACCUCUAAUUCUGUGGCUAUAGAACCAUCUUAUGUCAAAAAAAAAAAAACACCCUCCAUAUGUGUUAAUAUUAGUUUUCUGACAAAAAUAUCUGUAAAAGAUACAGGCUUGGGAAAAACCUUCAAAAUUUUGACUCUCAAUGGCUAUUCUGAAAAUGAAAUACAGUCCUCUGAAUUUAUCAUACCUAGGACAUAUAGAAGAUUGUUAGAUAAUAAGGGGAUGUUUUCUUGCCACCUAUGAAAUAAAUUGUUGGUGCUUGUGAAGCUACAAGGCAUACAGCUCAGUAGGCCAUCCAGGAGUUUGAACACUAAGGUCGUAACUGGGGAUAAUAUGUAGGACUGCCAUCACAUCUGAGAGGUUUUAUGUUUUGUUUUUAUCACAUCACCUCAACAGACACUAAGGAAACAGAAGCAAACUCUGGGAUGACUGUGAGUUUUAAAGCUGAAAGAGGGGUACCUGGGUGAGCGUCUGACUUCAGCUCAGGUCGUGAUCUCACAGUUUGUGGGUUAGAGCCCUGCGUAGGGCUUUGUGCUGACAGCUCAGCCUGGAGCCUGCUUCAGAUUCUGUGUCUCCCUCUCUCUCUGCCCCUCCCCCAUUUACCCUCUGUCUCUCUCUGUGUCUCAAAAAUAAAUAAAUGCUAGAAAAAAAUUUAGAGCUGCAAGAAAAGAGUUUAAAUUCACAACCAGCUAUGUUACUUGAUUUUAAGAGAAGAGAUGAUUUGCCACAUCUAUCAUAAUAUCAAAGUAUUAUGCAACUAAAACAGUUAUGAGUUAAGAAUAUGGACCCCUGCAAAUGACUUAUUUUAAGUAAUAAUGACAUUUAUAGACAUUUUCACAUAUGCAUCUCUUGGGAAAUGAAACUUUCAGAUACAAAGAAAAGAUGUCUUUAACCUUUCCUGUUCCUGAUCCUAUCAUAAAAUAGAGAUAAAGACAUUUUGGAAAGAGUUCUUUGAACAUUACAACAGUAGCUAGGAGAAUAGGAAAAAUAUACACGAGAAAAAAAUGAACGCCUGAGAAAAGGACUGGAGGUCCUCAUCUUCAGCUGCAGAGGUGAUGUAGAAGUUGUAGAAGGUGGGGUAGCAUGGUGUAGAAGACAGAGACGAGCUCAUCAUUAUUUCUAAGGAGUGGAGAAGUGGGUUUCCACUGCGUCGUAAGGGACUCAGCCUAGAUAUUAGGACUACGAUCCCAAUAGGAAUAGCCAUUAACGUAAAAUGGCUUGUUAAAGGAGAUAAUGAAAUCUCCUUCUCAAAAUAUCAAUUAAAUGAAGAUAAUUCUUCAUCCUUCUGAGAUAGUUUAGAUAUAGUCUAUCUAAAGGACAGGGAUGGGCAGGCUUGUUUUCCAAAGCAGCUUUCAAUUUUCUAAUUACACAGUAUUGAAUCCAAAAUGGUUACCCUACUUUUAGAGCUAGAAAGUCGCUGAAUUUAAAGUUUUUCAGAGAGUAGUAAGUUUAGAGACCAUCUAGUUUCUGAACCCUGAGGGGCGUAAGUGCAGUGGAGAGAUGAGCAAACUAUGACCCAUGGGCCAAAUUCGGCCCCACCCUUUGUUUUUGUAGGGCCUGCAAGCUUAGAGCAUUUUUUGUUUUUGUUUUUGUUUUGUUUUGUUUUACAUUUUCUUUUAAUGGCUGGGGGAAAUCAGAAUAGUAUUUCAUGACAGGUGAAAAUUAUAUGGAAUUCAAAUUUCAGUGUCUCUAAAAAAAGUUUUAGUGGAAUACAGCCACAUUCAUUCAUCCACAUAUUAUCUACGGCACUUUUGCCCUAUACCGGUACAGCUGUCACUCUAGAGGCUGAAAAUCCCAAGAUGCCAUAUGGUACUUUACAGAAGAAGUUUGCUGGCCCCCUGGUGCAGUGGAUGAAGCACAUAAAGUCUAAAGCCAGACUACCUGGGAGUGAUCCUGGAAAAGGUGGCAUGCCUCCGUCUCCUGAUCCGUAAACUGGGGGCAAUAAUGGUACUUACCUGACGGGGUUGUUGUGAGAAUAAAUGAAGGUGCUUAAAACACAAGGGCCUGGUAUAAAGCAAGAAUUCAGCUAAGUGUUCAGUGUUCUUACUAUUACACAUGAAGAAACUGGCCCACGGCAAACUUCUUGAUUCUCCUUGCCUAGGUUGUCUUUUUUACUUUCUACAUUGCCUGACAAAGAAAAACGUUCUUCUGAAGUUUUGGUUUCUGUUUUUAAACUACCUGAAGGCCACUGUGAAUGAGAACUUCAGUUUCAUCAGCCUGGUCUCCUAUCAAUUCUGGGACCUACAGUCACCCAAAGGCAACUUGUGGAACAUUUGUGAUUUUCAGGUCUUUACCUCAAACUUCUAGAAAUCAAGAUUUUCUUUAUGCCUUCCACAAAAAGGACAAUCCAAAUCCCCUACAACUCAAAACUGAUGAGUCUGGCUUUUUUCCCAAUAUUUACUGCAAAAACUUCAGAAACCAAGAACUGAGGCGUGCAUACAGACAUCAAGAUCUGAAGGAUAGCAGAUUAUUCCAUGUGCAUUCAAGGGUAUUUAUUAUUCUCGGCAAAACAUAACCCAUUUUCUCUGGUCUCUUUUCUUCCUUAUCAACCCUUGCACGUUACCAACACCACCCCAGGUUUUGCUGACUCUACAACACCUGUUAAACCUAGCAGGAUGCCCUGGACAACCACCCUUUUUGAAGAUUUGUUCACAAGGAGUCUUUCUUCAUUAACUCCGUUCCCAAAUGGUCACUCCAUUAUAUCAUGUUCCCUUGUCAGGUGGUAUACAAUUUUAAACAAUUAUACAUCUGGCAUUGCUGUCUAACUCUGCUCCACUUUUUCUCUUUCUAUAUAAUACACCCUAUCUUGCAACAAAACUGGAAUUCCUUAGGGCCAGGCACAUAUCAUUUUUUUUGGUAUCACCUCACAGUACUUCUUUGAAGUUUUUUAUGUAGUAGGCAUUUGACAAAUGCUUCUUGCAUUAAUAAAUGAAUAGCCACAAACACCUCCCAUGAACAGAAUUUUUAACUUUAGAGAUGAAUAAAAUAACACUUUUACACUACCACCAAGAUGGUGGAGAUGAUAAUUUGUUAGUACAUGGGUUUAAAGAUCAAUCAUCAAAAUUAAAACAAAUCAGAAGUGUACAAGCACCUUAAUUAAAAUGGAGACUGCAACCCACAAAAGAAAGAUUAACUCUAGAUCCUUAAUCCUUUUCAGAUACAUUAGCUCUAUGACACUGGAAAAUGUUAGAUCUCAUGUGGAUACGGUGGCCACUGGUAAAACCUUAUCUAAGUAUUUUUUUAAAUCCAGCCAUAAAGGAUUAUGUUGGAAUCCCGCACUGGUAUAAUUCUCAUCUGCAUGUAUAAUAUACCGAUAGCAACAUUACUUAAUAUAUGAGUAUGUGAAGUAUAUUUUAUUAUAACAGUAGACAAGCAAACUGAAUGUGUCCCAGGAAGGGGUCUUUUCCAUUAACUUUUAUAAAGGCUUUCAUUUCAAACUUUCAUUAACAUCUGACAAGCAAGCUGAAAAAGCUUUGCUUAGAGCUUGGGUUAGGGGCAAAAUGCAUUUUGGCAAAACUAUUCCAAGAUUACACUGACUGGGUGUGCGAGAAUAUACUAAUUUGUUUUGUUUUGUUUUGUUUUGUUUGGAGUGUGGAGAAAAGAGAGAGAAAGGGAGAGAAGGAGUCAUGGACCCUACUUUAUGGUUGCCAUGGAGGCAAGGUCAGCCUUCCACACUUGGAUCUACCAGCAGAGUUCAGACAGGUCAACGUGUGACCGGCUCAGGCCCUGGGGUUAAAAGUUCAAGCAGCGAUGGAAAAACCAAUAUGUCCACGCAGAGUAUGCUGUGCAAUUUAUUUCAAUUUACAUCAAGCCAUGCAUAUAAAAUUUAGAUAAAUUCCAUUCAAAUCUGAUGUUGCCUGACACACAAUGUAUGCAAACAGAUGUCUGUGGGGCUUUUUCUGUGCUUUGGAAAACAACAUUAAAUUUAAAAAUAUGUCUCUGGGAUUUCUUUAUUGAAUUACAAAAUGAACAUAAUUUUAACUUAAAUGUUUUCAUUCUUUCUUCCAAUUUUUUUUGUGGGGUUCUUAAUAAUUUCUCGGUUCUCAAUCUACUCUGUGUCAUAUUAAAGAGGAUAAUGUAUAUUUACAA
RNAcentral lists this long non-coding RNA (14309 nucleotides) under Lynx pardinus (Iberian lynx). The record is from RNAcentral. Lineage: Eukaryota; Metazoa; Chordata; Mammalia; Carnivora; Felidae.